This 497-nucleotide ribosomal RNA is filed under the name uncultured bacterium. Its description in RNAcentral is "partial 16S ribosomal RNA". It matches the Rfam family "Bacterial small subunit ribosomal RNA", at positions 28 to 507 of the family's 1533-position model. The record is from RNAcentral.
GACGAACGCUGGCGGCGUGCCUAAUACAUGCAAGUUGAGCGCUGAAGGUUGGUACUUGUACCAACUGGAUGAGCAGCGAACGGGUGAGUAACGCGUGGGGAAUCUGCCUUUGAGCGGGGGACAACAUUUGGAAACGAAUGCUAAUACCGCAUAAAAACUUUAAACACAAGUUUUAAGUUUGAAAGAUGCAAUUGCAUCACUCAAAGAUGAUCCCGCGUUGUAUUAGCUAGUUGGUGAGGUAAAGGCUCACCAAGGCGGUGAUACAUAGCCGACCUGAGAGGGGGAUCGGCCACAUUGGGACUGAGACACGGCCCAAACUCCUACGGGAGGCAGCAGUAGGGAAUCUUCGGCAAUGGACGAAAGUCUGACCGAGCAACGCCGCGUGAGUGAAGAAGGUUUUCGGAUCGUAAAACUCUGUUGGUAGAGAAGAACGUUGGUGAGAGUGGAAAGCUCAUCAAGUGACGGUAACUACCCAGAAAGGGACGGCUAACUACGUG